RNAcentral lists this ribosomal RNA (460 nucleotides) under uncultured bacterium. RNAcentral's name for it is "partial 16S ribosomal RNA". It matches the Rfam family "Bacterial small subunit ribosomal RNA", at positions 338 to 795 of the family's 1533-position model. The record is from RNAcentral.
CCUACGGGAGGCAGCAGUGAGGAAUAUUGGUCAAUGGACGAGAGUCUGAACCAGCCAAGUAGCGUGAAGGAUGACUGCCCUAUGGGUUGUAAACUUCUUUUAUAUGGGAAUAAAAUGUUCCACGUGUGGGAUUUUGUAUGUACCAAAUGAAUAAGGAUCGGCUAACUCCGUGCCAGCAGCCGCGGUAAUACGGAGGAUCCGAGCGUUAGCCGGAUUUAUUGGGUUUAAAGGGAGCGUAGGUGGAUUGUUAAGUCAGUUGUGAAAGUUUGCGGCUCAACCGUAAAAUUGCAGUUGAAACUGGCAGUCUUGAGUACAGUAGAGGUGGGCGGAAUUCGUGGUGUAGCGGUGAAAUGCUUAGAUAUCACGAAGAACUCCGAUUGCGAAGGCAGUUCACUGGACUGCAACUGACACUGAGGCUCGAAAGUGUGGGUAUCAAACAGGAUUAGAUACCCCUGUAGUC